This is a non-coding RNA of Schizosaccharomyces pombe (fission yeast), 235 nucleotides long. The record is from the annotation of a GenBank genome assembly. NCBI's taxonomy places the organism in Eukaryota, Fungi, Ascomycota, Schizosaccharomycetes, Schizosaccharomycetales, Schizosaccharomycetaceae.
ACGGGGAGAGUGACCAGUUUGCUUGUCCGGAGCCGCAUUAGUUAACGAAGACCAUUGAAUUAAAAAUUCUGUUUUUAAUCUACGAGAGCUCUCGUGCUCAUUACCGCUGUCAUUACGAGCGGAAAGAAUGGAAUCAAUUUCAUCAACAAAGAUAACGCUACAUGUCUGGCGCUUCGCAACUUCAAAAAGGGCUCGAACCAACUUUUCAGAAUCACCAAGCUAAAUCAAGGUUAGU